Molecule: long non-coding RNA, 537 nt
Filed under: Gossypium raimondii (Peruvian cotton)
Lineage: Eukaryota; Viridiplantae; Streptophyta; Magnoliopsida; Malvales; Malvaceae
Description: long non-coding RNA (GRAI_LNC008240)
Source: RNAcentral
UGUGGGUGUUUUAGUCUAACUGAACUACUGAAGAUUUGGAGUGGAAUUUGAAUUAGGUGGUUGAGGGAGGGGUGGAUUGUUUUUGAAGAGUGGAUUAAGGGAUUUGGGGAGAAAAUUAAGGAAUGGAGGCGUUUGAGUUGGACUGGGAUGCUGAGUGGUUGGAAUGGAUGUUGUUUAGUGGAGUAAAUCAAAGAGUUUGGGGAGUUACCCUUUGAUUUCGAAAAUCUCUGCAGAACUCUCAUCUACCGUCUUUCAUUUUUAUUUUUAUUUUUCUUUCUCUACCUCCAUAGUCGAAUUCUAUCCCUUUCUUCCCUACCCCCUUUUCGUUUUCUUUAGACUUUAAUCUUCCUGUGUUGUUGUCGAGAUUUCAAGUGCUUUCCCUCUACCUGCCAAAUUUUUCCCUCUCCACCUUUUCUUUUUCUUUUGUUUUCAGCCGAAAUCCCCCAUUGCUGCCAUUUUCCCCCUUCAGUUCUCUUUCUUUUCUGUUUUGUUUUGUGCCAAAAUUUCAAGUCUUUCCCCUUAUCUUUUGUUUCGGUC